RNAcentral lists this transfer RNA (87 nucleotides) under Bacteroidota bacterium. RNAcentral's name for it is "Bacteroidetes bacterium (sediment metagenome) tRNA-Leu". It matches the Rfam family "tRNA". Rfam says of the family: Transfer RNA (tRNA) molecules are approximately 80 nucleotides in length. Lineage: Bacteria; Pseudomonadati; Bacteroidota. The record is from RNAcentral.
GCCCAGAUGGCGGAAUUGGUAGACGCGUUGGUCUCAAAAACCAAUGAGGUAACACUCGUGCCGGUUCGAUCCCGGCUCCGGGUACAA